UUUUGACCUCAGUUCAGACAAGGCUACCCGCCGAAUUUAAGCAUAUUACUAAGCGGAGGAAAAGAAAAUAACAAUGAUUCCCCUAGUAACGGCGAGCGAACCGGGAAGAGCCCAACUUGGAAAUCUGGAGGCUUGUCCUUCCGAAUUGUAGUCUAGAGUAGUGCCAUCUGCGGCUGGCCGGUCCCAAGUUCCCUGGAAAGGGACGUCAGAGAGGGUGAGAGCCCCGUCGAGGCCGGUUUAGUCGCUCCACGAUGCGCUUACAAGGAGUCGGGUUGUUUGGGAAUGCAGCCCUAAGCGGGAGGUAAAUUCCUUCUAAGGCUAAAUAUUGGCGAGAGACCGAUAGCGAACAAGUACCGCGAGGGAAAGAUGAAAAGACCUUUGAAAAGAGAGUUAAAAAGUACCUGAAAUUGUUGAGGGGGAAGCGAUUAAAACCAGCGGGUGCUCCCUAGGUAGGCUUUGCCACACGCUAGGGGCUGGUCAACGUGGGUUAGUCGGGGGGGACAUUACUCCUGACUGACCGAGGACUCGACGUUGGCGGAAUGGUUUUAAUCGGCCCGUCUAGAAACACGGACCAAGGAGUCUAA
This 584-nucleotide ribosomal RNA is filed under the name uncultured Micromonas. Its description in RNAcentral is "eukaryotic LSU rRNA". It matches the Rfam family "Eukaryotic large subunit ribosomal RNA", at positions 1 to 678 of the family's 3401-position model. Lineage: Eukaryota; Viridiplantae; Chlorophyta; Mamiellophyceae; Mamiellales. The record is from RNAcentral.